AUUGAACGCUGGCGGCAGGCCUAACACAUGCAAGUCGAACGAGUGGCGGACGUGAGAGAAAUGUCUGGGACACUGCGUGGUGGAGGGGGAUCACCAGUGGAAGGGGUAGCUUAUACCGUAUCCCAUCAGAUGUGCCCAGAUGGGAUUAGCUUGGUGGUGGGGUAACGGCUCACCAAGGCGACGAUCCCUAGCUGGUCUGAGAGGAUGACCAGCCACACUGGAACUGAGACACGGUCCAGACUCCUACGGGAGGCAGCAGUGGGGAAUAUUGCACAAUGGGCGCAAGCCUGAUGCAGCCAUGCCGCGUGUAUGAAGAAGGCCUUCGGGUUGUAAAGUACUUUCAGCGAGGAGGCGUUACUCGCAGAAGAAGCACCGGCUAACUCCGUGCCAGCAGCCGCGGUAAUAC
This 406-nucleotide ribosomal RNA is filed under the name uncultured bacterium. RNAcentral describes it as "partial 16S ribosomal RNA". It matches the Rfam family "Bacterial small subunit ribosomal RNA", at positions 30 to 526 of the family's 1533-position model. The record is from RNAcentral.